Molecule: long non-coding RNA, 1308 nt
Organism: Tetranychus urticae (two-spotted spider mite)
Lineage: Eukaryota; Metazoa; Arthropoda; Arachnida; Trombidiformes; Tetranychidae
Source: RefSeq, a predicted model, not a curated record
GAAGCACAAUUUAAAUUAACACAAGUAGAUCUUUGGUUGUAAAUACUCAAGUCUAUGAGAGGUCACUUAAUUAAAUUACAAACUAGAUGAAUAAUUUAACAAAUCAUGAAUGAAGUGUGGGACUAUGAAUGAAAGCAAGUUGUGAAAUGAAAAAAGAAAUGUCGAGAAUUAAGAGAUCGAGUUGCAGUUGAGGGAGGCGCGAGUUUAAAGGGCGCGAUUUAAGAGCGCAAUUUUCAAAUUCUACAAAUGGUUUUUUCUUUCUUUUGGUUUUACCUUUUUUAUUCACGUCUCGAUCAAUAAUACCGUCAAUGCUCCUCUAUGCCUCGAUUAUCCUAUUUUCAAAUCACUUUAUAAUUAACAAUAUUUUAUGUAAAAACCUGGUUAAUUUAUAAAAAUUAAAGGGGUAAGUUUAGGGGUUGAAUCAGCAAGAUGGCGUUGCUUUUUGGUUAAUCUGUGUUCGACUUUGAAAUUUGAAUUUAAUCUUCUUUACUCUUUGAAUCUAAUUAACGGCAGAUGGAGUGUUCUUUGUUUUAACCGAAAAUUUUAAAUCCAAUUUACAAUUGUUAGUGAAAACAUUAAUUUUAAUCCCAUUUUUAACCCACUUAAAUAAUUUCAGUCGUUAUUUUUCAAAGUGAAUACAACUUGGACCCAAAUCAUUUAUUUAAAGUGCUUAAUCUUUCUUGUGAAGGUUAUUCUGUGUACAUUGAAUGCUACAUCUACUUCAUCAUUAUCUCAGAAGCUACAUGAUGAGUGAAGAGGUGAGAUAAACUGGUUAAUAAGAUUAAUGAACCAUAAUAAUAGUUAUUGAAAUUAGAUGGUAAUAGAACUGGUCUGUAACUGAAAAAUUAUCCACACUUUUGUCAAAUGGUUUUAUGCUUACCUAAAGUUCGGGUUGGAUUGGCUAAAGCAAAGCGAACCAAAACAUUGGCUCCAGCACCUUCACCGAUGCCCACAAUCAGUCCAACCUUUAAGUGAUCAAGAACUGUAGGAAUCAGCUCUUCUCCUGAUGAGGAAACCAGAAAAAGAAUACAUUUUUGGUGAAAAAAUUAGACAGAACCAGAAACCAGAAAAGUAGCUUCAAAGGAUUGCUUUGUAAAUUUGCUUUUUGUCUCGACUGGGACAAAUAUUUACAAUUAAUUGUUUGAUUAGGUGUUUACUUGGAUUGUGUUCAACUCACCCAUUUGUUGAAUGCUAGGAAAAGUGAAAUCAUCUGGUAAAUCAUCAGCACCAUCCUCUUGUCCAGGAAUAUCAAGAUGAAUAAAAAUGGAUCGAGCCUUAAUCUCAGACAUACAGGGUUUCUCAACGAAA